RNAcentral lists this ribosomal RNA (518 nucleotides) under Yarrowia lipolytica. Its description in RNAcentral is "partial large subunit ribosomal RNA". It matches the Rfam family "Eukaryotic large subunit ribosomal RNA", at positions 67 to 668 of the family's 3401-position model. The record is from RNAcentral. Lineage: Eukaryota; Fungi; Ascomycota; Dipodascomycetes; Dipodascales.
ACUAGGGGUAUGCUCAGUACGGCGAGUGAGCGGCAAAGCUCAAAUUUGAAACCCUCGGGAUUGUAAUUUGAAGAUUUGGCAUUGGAGAAAGCUAACCCAAGUUGCUUGGAAUAGUACGUCAUAGAGGGUGACAACCCCGUCUGGCUAACCGUUCUCCAUGUAUUGCCUUAUCAAAGAGUCGAGUUGUUUGGGAAUGCAGCUCAAAGUGGGUGGUAAACUCCAUCUAAAGCUAAAUACUGGUGAGAGACCGAUAGCGAACAAGUACUGUGAAGGAAAGGUGAAAAGAACUUUGAAAAGAGAGUGAAAUAGUAUGUGAAAUUGUUGAUAGGGAAGGAAAUGAGUGGAGAGUGGCCGAGGUUUCAGCCGCCCCUCGUGGGCGGUGUACUGCCGACGCCGAGUCAUCGAUAGCGAGACGAGGGUUACAAAUGGGAGCGCCUUUCGGGCGUUCUCCCCUAACCCUCCACACUGCCACCGACGACAUAAUCCACCCAUUUCACCCGUCUUGAACACACGGACCA